UAGUGGUCCCGCGAGGCCAACACCCUCAUCCUCACACUCGGAAGAAUACGUCCCUCGGGCCAAAUCAUAGCUAGCCGUCUCGCAUAGUUGCAUAGAGAGGGCCUCACCUAUCACUCCCAUUCUAUCUUAUGCUUUAAAUUGCCACCGAGAGGCCAACACCCCGCCACAACGGUCGGUGGCCUCAUACUUUCCCCUCGGGCCCAAGCAUAGGUAG
This is a non-coding RNA of Pelobates cultripes (western spadefoot toad), 214 nucleotides long. Lineage: Eukaryota; Metazoa; Chordata; Amphibia; Anura; Pelobatidae. The record is from the annotation of a GenBank genome assembly.